AAAAUUAGAAUUUAAUUAAUUUUAAUUAAAAUAUAACUUAUAUGUGUACUAAAUGUGGAAUAUGCAUUUAAACUUCCCUCAAGGUUUGUUACAUAAUUAGACACAUUUCUUUCUUGUAUAUUUUACAAAAAUAGCAUUAGUAAUACUUGUAUUACAAACACCACAAAUGCGCUUUAUUGUUUUUAUUACCUGUAGGGAGAUUUUGCCAAUAAUGUAAAUAAUGUAAAUUCAAGUUUAUUUCCUCAUAAUAUUUGUGUACCACUCGGCAGCCGUCUCAAACUGCUGGUUUAAAGACAUUUUAUUUUAUUUUAUUUUAUUUUAUUUUAUUUUAUUUUAUUUUAUUUUAUUUUAUUUUAUUUUAUUUUUAAUUUUUCACUUAGUCUGAAAUAGGUGCUGUAGAAAAGCUAAAAAUAACACUAUUGUUUAUAUUGUUUACAUUACUGACAUUUUUUUAUCACUAACAUAAGCUCUGAGAAAAUUCCUCUUCCCUGUUCCACUCAAGUGUCACAUGUUCUAAACACAUGCAACAUAUCUUAAUAAUGCUUGCGUUCUUUCAUUUUUCGCUUCUGACUUUGUCCUUCCCCGCACUGACAGUAGAUCUCUUCAGGCAAUACAGGGUGGUUCAUUUCAGUCUGCAACGUGAGAGGGCUCGUCCCCAAGCUCCAUGCCACCCACAGAAACAUAUGCUUAGCCCUUCUCCUUCUUUUUCCUUCAGCAGACAAAUUGAAAGUAGAUUAUUGUUGGUGUGGCUUCUGGCUGACCUGGCACUAGUCCUUUUCAGGAAUUCCUGAAGACCACCCUUUGCCCCCAUAGAUAAUGGUCCUGCUUUGUUCCCAGGGAGUUCUCUCUCUGCUCACUGUAGUCUUAUCCUGCUUAUCCUGCUUGGCUUUACUGACAUCACACAGGGAAAAGAGAAGAUGACUAGUGCCAAGCAGAAACUCCCAUUUGAGGUUCAGAAUAAUGUUGUUGGGGAAUUUGCACAGUGACUGUUGUUCUUUUGGUUUCGGUGCUGCUUUAGAAGCAGAUAUUUCGCUAAUUGCUUGCAUGAUUGCAAAAUGAAGAUAGAGAUUGUUCCAGCUAGAUUAUACUUCAUUACCAUCACUACUUGAUGGUGAUAAUUAUGAUUAUACCAGAUAAUACUUUUCUUCAUUGCCAUUUUAUUCUUCAGAGAAUUUUAGAGCAAUGCACAAUUUAAAAGAUACAGUAGUUCCUACAAAUCUGACUUAUUUACUCAUCUUCAUGUUGUUCCAAGCUGAUAUGACUGAUGUUCUUCUGUGGAUCACAAAAGAAUAUUUAAAUGUUUUUGUCCAUACAAUGUAAGUCAGUAGAAUUCAGUGUUGUUUUGGAUCUUUGGCUUUCAUUUUAUGGACAAAAACAUUCUUCAAAAUGCCUUCUUUUGUGUCAUACAGGUUUGGAACAAUGUGAGGGUGAGUAAAUAAUUUGACAGAGCAGCCCUGGUCUUGUCCAGUCAGGUGUGAACGGAACAACGGUGAGUGUGAACCAACCAUUAGGCUCCCUGUAGUCUCUCAGAGUUAUUAGCAGCUCAAAGACCUGACUGCUAUCAGCCAAUGCAGGACUAGUUCCACCUGUUUAAGCCUGAAAACACCCAGGACUGCUUAGAAAAUAAGCUAACCGUCAGAAGAGGGCUUUUCCUGAAUAUCUGCUUGUCAUGAGAAAGCAUAUUGGAAAAGAAAAAUGCAUUUCCACACAAAAGGAGUGAAACAGAAGUGCAUAAUCAAAACGAAACGCUUACAGAAAUGACUAGGGAACUUUUACUUGGUUAAUGGCGUGUCAAAAAAUAUUUGCAUUUGUAAUCUGGCCGUUUUUACUGCAGAAUGAAUCACUGAUAAUUGUAUAAGUUGCUUUGAUUUAUUUGUGGAGAGUAUUUUAAGGUUCUGUGAGUCUGAACAUGCUGCUCACAGCUUGCGGUACUUUUCAGCAGUGAUUAGUUAGUUGUCAUGUAAGUCCAGCCCAGGACUAGACUAAACCUAAGUGUAAAAAUCCCAUAGCAACUAUUUGCCUUAAAUAUUUGGCUGUGAAAUACGUUAAUGACCGCACUCUUAUCGGCCUGAUAAUGGUUAAUUAGUUCUACUUAAUUAACCUGGUAAUUCUAAUUAAUAUCUUUUUAAUCUCAUUAAGUGCUUAUCAGCGCGAAUGAGUCUGAUCCAACAAAUCAUUUGCAAGGAACUCUCCACUGUAAACAAAGGAGGAAUUAAUGAAUGCAGCCUCAAUGCUGGUGGCUGGGUGUUCAAGCUAUUAAAUGGUGUAAAGAUAUUUAUACCAAACUUGUGUGCACAGAGGCUUUUAAAUGUAAAAUGGCAAUAUGAUAUCAGGGAUCUCCCAAGCACAUCAUUGUUUGGUUCUUUAUAUACAAUACAGUUCAGGUUUAGCCAAAGGACAUACUGUGCCAUUAUUACCUAUAGAGAGGUCACUUAUUGUAAAAGGAUUUAGAACAGAUGACUUUUUAAAAAUGAAUAAUUGUUGAAAAACAUGUUUUUUCUCUCUCUCAUUGACCUCCAGGGUGCUAGCAAAUAAAACCUACUUCAACUGCCCCAGUUGGGUCACCUUACGGAGACUGUGCCGCACACAUUGUGUGGGAAACUCAAGUAGCAGCAUUCACAAUAGCAGGUCUAUUUCAUACGUGCAGCGAGUCUUCUGUUGUGCUAUUGUAUUUUGGGUUGAAAGCCUGCAGGUAUUGACACUAUGUUUUGGUUACACAAUACGCAACAUUGUUUUUCUCUUGCAAGAGAUGUUAUGUGUAAUGCUAUGGCUUGUUGAGCCCAACCUGUUACAAUAGCAGAAAGUGCGAGGGCUGUAAUCACGCAGCUGAUCGAUAUCUGACACUGAUGUAGCUGCUGAAAUAUGGCAUUUAUUUACUUUGUGCACAAACUAUGGUUGUCCCAUUGCACUGUAAUCAGAGGUUCUCUCUUUACCGUUCAGAGAUCAUGUUGUGCACUUCUAUUUAUUCCCAUUUUUCCAUUUAUUUAACGUCAAUGGCUGAAUGGACCAGGAGAGAGCAAUGACAAUGGCGGAGUGCAGGUCUGUCAGAAGUGAAAGGCAUUACACAGACAGGUCCUGAUGGCGGUGUACGGAUGUGUCAUGGAAUUCAGUUUGGAAAGAAAAAAAAAGGAAAACACUUUUGGCACACUUGCAUACAAGAGUUGCUCCAAAGCAGGCAGAAGCAAUUACACUUGGAGACAAAGAGGCCUCCAGGGGAGAUGAGAGACAUGGAGCAGUGAGUGGGAGAAACUGAACAGCUACUGGAAGUUCACUGUGCGGAUUUGUGUUGGAAAAUGUUUGAUAUAGAUGUGAAUAUAAAGUAUGUUAUUGCUGUGCUACAGUUUUAUAUCUCAUGACUUUCUUGACUUGAGUAAAUUUUAACUAAUAAUCACAAUUUGAAAUGACAUUGAAAAGGCCAUUUUGUCAUCCAUUGCCAUACAAAAAAAAAAUAUUGUCUGGGAUUUACUUUAAAUGAUCACACAAACAAAUAAUUAUAUCAGUUUUCAGUCUUCACAUUUCACACAGUUUUCGUAUUUUUCCUUUCUUCCCCCAUAAUUAUCCAUAUUCCUGGUCCACACCCUUAAUGGCCCAAGUGCUGUUUCUCAUUUGAUAAAUUAGCAAAGGUACAGUUUCGAUGUUGCUUUUUCAGUACACGGGAAAGUAUUUAUGUUAGAUAGCGGUAGGUUUCCCCUCCUGCUCGGGUGAUGGGGGAUAAUUACUAUUCUGGAGCCUUAAGAUUAGAUUGUAAUUGAAAAUCAAAGUGCCUGAGUGAAAAGCCAGUGCAGAAAGACAAACGGAGGGAAAGGCAAUCUAGGCCAUCAGCCACAGUAAAUACAGUGCAACCUUGACAAGAGUUUACCUCUACAUACACCAAUGCUACAGUAGCUCAAGCAUCUGUGUGAGCUGAAUGGCCCCAAGGCCAUUCGGACCACCUUUGAGUCAACAGAGGUUUUGUCCUCACCUGUACCUUGUCUUGUCUGAGACCCUGCAAUGGGUCUCGGGUCUUUAUCAUGGUCCAGUGGAAGUGAAAGGACUUGUUCUUUUGUCGUUCUUGUGUGCUAGACAAGCACAGGAAGAUCGAGUGGACGACUCUGAUGGUGGUCGGUGCAGUGGACACAAAUAUUUGCUCCUGUGUCCACACAAAUUUAUCUAGGUGGUUGAGUCGCUGAGCGAUAGGUAAUUAACUGCACUUAGACACCACUGAACAAUGAAAGGGAAAGGAUAUGCCAGAUGCCAUAAAAUUAUAGCACAGGCAGAAGUUUCUGAUUUUUUUUUUUUUUGAUGGAAACAAUUGAUUGUGGGUGUGCAGUGGCUGACUCAGCCAUUAGUCAGUACAUUUUACAGUGAAACUGAGAGAUAUAACAAGUGUGUUUUUAUAACAAGUGAUGAAGGGACCUGUGUACCCUGAAGGGCACUUCUUCUCAACAUGCUUUAAGGAUGGGCUGCUACAACUUGCCUGUUUGUCUUCAAUGCAGAAGUGAUAAAUAGAUCUGUAUGCAUGAAUUCAGGUUGGAAUCCGUUGGGUCAGUGUUUCAUUGUCCAUCCAUGAGAAAGUGCAGAAAUGACUGCAGCUCUUCUUGAUUGUGUUUGUAUCACUCCAGUCUUAUUUACACGUAUCAGUGCAAUCAAAGUCAUGUAAUGUGAACUGAAGAUAAGCGUCAGUGUAAAAAUAAAAAUAAAUAAAUAAAUAAAAAACAUGUUGAAGCCAUUAUACAGUAAAGGUCUAUAUAUAUAAAUAUAGAUGUGAACAGGAAAGUGUAAACAUUUGCGUCAUGCACAUAUAUACUUGACAGAGAUCACGUAUUAUUCACAAGCCAUAAGUGUGUGAGGGUGGAGACUCUGGGAUUGUGUUCCUUCAGAAAAUCAACAUUUUCCUUAUCUGAUCUUCAACAAAUCCAACAGAAAAUGCUUGCAUGCCUUAGACUAAAUACUCACUAAUCUAUUGCUCAAUCGGUUUGUUUUACACAAACAUUAUGAAAUGUUUUUAUUUAGAAAAUAAAUAAAAGUGUUGUUCAGACAGCUUCAUUUCAUUAUGACUAAUGACUAUAUUUUUUUGUUAAAUAUAUAACCAAAAGCCAAUUUCUCUCUCUCUCUCUCUCUCUCUCUCU
Long non-coding RNA from Cyprinus carpio (common carp), 5108 nucleotides. RefSeq lists it as uncharacterized. The transcript is spliced from 3 exons. The record is from RefSeq and is a predicted model, not a curated record. NCBI's taxonomy places the organism in Eukaryota, Metazoa, Chordata, Actinopteri, Cypriniformes, Cyprinidae.